RNAcentral lists this microRNA precursor (58 nucleotides) under Bos taurus (domestic cattle). RNAcentral's name for it is "Bta-Mir-2285-P5_pre stem-loop". The record is from RNAcentral. Lineage: Eukaryota; Metazoa; Chordata; Mammalia; Artiodactyla; Bovidae.
AAAAAAGUUUGUUUGGGUUUUUCUGUAAUAUCUUAAAAACCCAGAUGAACUUUUUGGC